UACGAAGGGGGCUAGCGUUGUUCGGAAUUACUGGGCGUAAAGCGCGCGCAGGCGGUUUUCCAAGUCAGUGGUGAAAGCCCGGAGCUCAACUCCGGAGUUGCCAUUGAAACUGUUAAACUUGAGGACGAGAGAGGUGAGUGGAAUUCCCAGUGUAGAGGUGAAAUUCGUAGAUAUUGGGAAGAACACCGGUGGCGAAGGCGGCUCACUGGCUCGUUUCUGACGCUCAGGCGCGAUAGCGUGGGGAUCAAACAGG
Molecule: ribosomal RNA, 253 nt
Filed under: uncultured bacterium
Lineage: Bacteria
Description: partial 16S ribosomal RNA
Rfam family: Bacterial small subunit ribosomal RNA
Source: RNAcentral